GGCUAUCAAUAAGAAUGGAACUAGAGGAAGGCAGCAUUCAUCUGAGUUAAAAGCCUUGAACUGGAUAAGCUAAAGGUGCAUGGAAAUUGGGCAGUGUAAAGAGUCUCUCCAACGUAUCUUAAAGAGACACUUUGCUCUGGAUGGCUUGCAAGCACAUUAAUAAGAAAUCGUGACAAGUAUUUCGGAAUUCUAAAUGGGAUUGACACUGUGAUUUGGAACCCUGCUACCGAUGUUUUCUUACCUGCUAAGUUUCAUGGUAACAA
Pistacia vera is the source of this 263-nucleotide long non-coding RNA. RefSeq lists it as uncharacterized. The record is from RefSeq and is a predicted model, not a curated record. The transcript has 3 exons. Lineage: Eukaryota; Viridiplantae; Streptophyta; Magnoliopsida; Sapindales; Anacardiaceae.